GAACGAAUCUAAUCACUGAUCUACAAGAAGUUUCGGCUCGCAAGAUUUGAACAGAAAUCUAAACGCAGAAAGUGAAAAGACACAUGGAUUUGUUGACGUUGUUCUAAGAAAAAUCCUACUCAGCGGAGCCUUAGAGAUGGAAGACUCAACCUGAAUCCACUAUCAGCAGAGAGCACUCAAGUUCAGAUUACAGAACCGGAAGAAAAACCCAAGACCUAAUCCUAGAACAACCAAAGAACUCAAACAAUCUAACAACGAUACAGAGAAGAUACUCAAAGGGAUUCGACCCCCUUCAGGUUGAGGAACUUCUCCCGGAAGUUCCCCGAGUAGUGAUCGGAGCACAGACCGGGGCCGGAGAUCUUCAUAUCGCCGUCAAAUGCUUUGUCUUCUUCUUUAUAGUUGAGAGACAGAGAGCUAGGAUUUUUGGAAUGGAUGAUCAGACUCUAUCUUCAGAAUAUCACCUCUGUCCCUUUAUAUAUGAAGUGACUGAGGAUAGAGCGCACCGUUUCAAUAAUCUGCAAGAGAACACAAGACAAACACAACAAACCGGGCGAUCAAGGAAUUUAACUGGUUCACCAAUCUAAACUUGAUUCGGUUUGAUUGCUAAUAGAAUUAUAACACCCUAUAUUGAGGAACCGUUGGGGGAAAGUGAGAGCAAUAGUAAUAUUGACCAGCCACCACCCACUGUUGUGAAUGAUGGUGGAUCAACUGCGGCUGCUCGUGAAGGUGAUGGUGAUGCAGAUGAUGAAGCUGAGCUAAGUGAUGUUGAUCUUGAAGGACUCGUUAACGAUACAAAAAUCAACCCUAAUGAUAG
Molecule: long non-coding RNA, 814 nt
Filed under: Linum usitatissimum (flax)
Lineage: Eukaryota; Viridiplantae; Streptophyta; Magnoliopsida; Malpighiales; Linaceae
Description: long non-coding RNA (LUSI_LNC007051)
Source: RNAcentral